GAUGAAGAACGUAGUGAAAUGCGAUAAGUAAUGUGAAUUGCAGAAUUCAGUGAAUCAUCGAAUCUUUGAACGCACAUUGCGCCCGCCAGUAUUCUGGCGGGCAUGCCUGUUCGAGCGUCAUUUCAACCCUCAGGCCCCGCCUGGCGUUGGGGAUCGGCGCGGCCCCCUCCGGGCUGCCGGCCCCGAAAACUAGUGGCGGUCUCGCUGUAGUCCUCCUCUGCGCAGUAGCAACGCUCGCACUGGAACUCGGCGCGGCCACGCCGUAAAACACCCCACUUCUGAAAGUUGACCUCGGAUCAGGUAGGAAUACCCGCUGAACUUAAGCAUAUCAAUAAGCGGAGGA
RNAcentral lists this unclassified non-coding RNA (343 nucleotides) under soil metagenome. RNAcentral's name for it is "partial contains 5.8S ribosomal RNA, internal transcribed spacer 2, and large subunit ribosomal RNA". The stretch from base 1 to 120 matches the Rfam family "5.8S ribosomal RNA", at positions 35 to 154 of the family's 154-position model. The record is from RNAcentral.